ACGAGCCCCGUCAUGGCCCGCGCACAGAACGACGGCAUCGAGGGCAGCCGGGGGCACAGCGGGCGGCACAGCUGCAGGUUCGAGGCCAUCCGUGGGGACUCCUGGCGCCGGGGCUCCUACUACCCCCGCAUCUCGCAACUCCCCCCCCGCCCGUUCGUGGGGCCCCUGCGGGACGUCGCCACCCAGACUCAGGCCCCGGGCGCCCUGGGCGGCGUGCCCACCUGCGCCGCGCCCCCCGCCCGGCCAGGGGGAGCCCCUGGGGGCACCAGCAGAGCCAGCACAGGAGAAGAGGGGGCCGCACGGGGGCCGCAGACGGUCGGCGAGGACAGGCCUCUGCCCGACCUGCUGCUGGGGAGGAGCCAGGGCCCCGCGGACCGCGGCGCGUCGGAGGACGAGCUGUCGGGGAGGGUGGCGGAGCAGCUGAGGAUCAUCGGGGACGAAAUGAACGCCAUCUACCUGCGGAGGAGGGUGGGUGCCAGACCGGGCUAGCCCAGGAGGGGGAGGGGAUUCUGACCCGAGAUCUGCUCUUACAUUACCAUGGGUUUUUCUGCAACCGCCUUCGCCGCGGCGCCCAGACCCCGGCAAGCUUUACAGCACUCCUGUACACAAAGGGUGGUGGGGGUGUGGAACUUUCAGGCUGCUGCUGCCCGAGGGCCCCAGAUCAGUCAUCUGCUGCAAAAGCAAGCGAGCGAGAUGGGCCGGGGCGCCCUCCUCUCCUUUUCUCGCUGUCCCCGCUCGGGUUCUCGUGCCUCUCCGGCAGAGUCUCGGGGAGGGAGGCCUCCGCGCGCCAGCACGCGAGCGAGCGAGAGUGAUGUCAGCCCGGCGCGGAGCUGGGGGGGGGCGGCCGGGAUAAGCCAGUGUUUACUCACUCAGCUGGCACAGGGGCUUCUCACGCGAUGCCUGUCUGCCGCCCGGGGCGGGGCUGGAUACGCUGCCUCAGUUGCGACACUCGACCAGCAGCGACUGAUUUGCUGUUUAUCUUUCCGCCGAGCUUGAAGGCGAGGGAGACAGAGAGACAGCCCGACAUGGCACACGGCCAGACCCAUGGAGAACUCCACUGUAUUUAUUUAUUUAUAUAUUUUAAAGUAAUAUAUAUAUAUUUUAAAAUGAGCAUCCUAAAAAAUAAGCAGUACUUCCCUUUCUCCCUCUUUGUCCAAGGUAUAAGCUACUCAAAGCCAAACUACUCCAGAUGUCGUUGGUGUCUCUGUGUGCUCCGUUUUGUGCAGGGUGUUCUGCGCCACCCUGCCUGUGUCAAAACUAAUUCAAGUUAGUAAGGCAGGGCUGUCUGUUUUGCCCUUAUGCAAAACCGUAAUGUUUAGAAGGUUCAUACAAUAGUAAAAACCACUGCACAGGGGUUUCUAAAGAGGGGUGUAAAUGCUCUUGCCUGUGUGGGUUUUCAAAAUUUCAACAAGUGCUCCUCAGUGGAUUAAAGGCAAGAAGUUUAACCAACACACAGUGUUGUUGCUGCUUCGCACUUCCUGGCACGAGCACAGCACUUUGCUUCUACAGCUGUGUGGCUGGUGACGAGGAGCCAGAAGGCACAGAGACGUCGUAAGGCGUUAUUUACAAAAAGGGAGAAAAAAAAGGGCUGAUUAACUUCCUCCUUCAGCUCAACAACUGAAACCAACCCGCAGGACUGGAAAGACGGGCACGAGAUCGCAUUCUCCCGCCCCCCCCCUCUCUAUCGCUUGUCUGUCUCCGCCUGCUGUCUCUCUGUCUGUCUGUGACCUCCUCCGCCCUCUCCCCCAGCCCCUCCCGCGCCUCUCUCUUCCCUGUGUCUGUCGGGCUGCUUGUCUGCGUCCGCCGCGCUCUCGGUCUCCUGCCCUGGUGUUUAAAAGCGAGCUGCUAUUUUAAGCCGGUGAGUCAGAGCAGCUGCUGUCGUGUGGCGCGACGCGUCUCCUGACUCCUGGCGCACAGAUCGCUCCUCACAGCGCUAAGGCACGCACGCGCACACACACACACACAGACACCUGCCUGUCUGGCUCUCUCAGUUUCCAUGUAGUGUCUGGUGGUUAUCAGUGUCGAAGCGGUGGAAAAGUACGAUGAUAUGCACAAUGAUGUGCAAUAAAAGGAACGGACAGGUGCUUCCAAGACAGAAGUCAGAGAGUUUUUUUUUCUGUUUGUGUUUUGCCUGGGGAAGAGGAUGUACUUGUGUCACGUUUAAACAGUGGCACACAGUAGGUAAUCAAUUUAAAUAACCAAAGGGUGUCACCUAUGGGUGUAAAAAAAAACGGUAAAUCUACAGUGCUUGUGGUCUAACACUCCAAAGUUUGUGCUAGGCAUCAUUAAAUGCAGUUUAGAUUGACCAGUUUAUUGGCCCUAUACAAUUUCUUGCAUUAGGAAUGUGUCUUUUCGCAGACCCCAGCUUGUUCUCCAUGAGACACACAGACAGGGAGAGAAGCUGGGGGUCAGAGCACAGGGUCAGCUAUUUAUACGGCGCCCCUGGAGCAGCUGGGGUUAAGGGCCUCGCUCAGGGGCCCAACGGAGUAGGAUUCCUCUGCUGGCUGCGGGAUUUGAACCUGCAACCUUCCAGCCACAGGCGCAGAUCCUGAGCCACAGAGCCACUGCUCCGCCCGAUGCCACUCCCUAGAUGGCAAACAGAUCGCCCAGCUCUCUCUCCUCACACUUCUCGUUUAAUAACAUCAGUCCUGCUCGUCGACAGUUUCGAUACUUGACCAAGGCUGGGUGAAGGGUGUACAUUGGAUUGAGCAAAACCCCCUGCCCGCCAGCUUCCAAAAUAGUCCACAUGCCAGCCAGUCCCGCACCCUUCCACAAACGUGCUUCGAAUACCGACCUUCUGCGUGAGGGUCUGCAAGUCGCAUUCCUGCACGAUGAAACAAGAGACGAACCAGAUGCCUUCCGUUUCACGCCUGGUGUUGCCUCACUGACAUUUUACUUCUGCAAGUAGACAGACUCAGACAGAUACAGCGGUUUAUCUGCUGUAUGUACAUGUACACAUGAAUCACACUGAUCUCCCCGGACAUGCACAGAGCAACAGACAGCACACCACACAAUCUAAACAGUACAUUACAAAACAGUUCAU
Molecule: long non-coding RNA, 3043 nt
Organism: Lepisosteus oculatus (spotted gar)
Lineage: Eukaryota; Metazoa; Chordata; Actinopteri; Semionotiformes; Lepisosteidae
Source: Ensembl